This 957-nucleotide long non-coding RNA is filed under the name Olea europaea subsp. europaea. The record is from RNAcentral. Lineage: Eukaryota; Viridiplantae; Streptophyta; Magnoliopsida; Lamiales; Oleaceae.
CACAGGCUUUAGCAGACUUCAUCGUUGAGCUCACCAUCCCGCUCGAGCUCCCACCAGGGGAGCAGGCAGAUUGGAAAAUUUUUGUCGAUGGAUCUUCAAAUGACGAAAGAUCCGGGGCGGGAAUCAUAAUGAUAGGUCCGAAUGAAGAAGAGUUGGAAUACUCACUGCACUUUGAAUUCCCAGCAACAAAUAACGAAGCCGAGUACGAAGCGGUAAUCACGGGUUUGGGAUUGGCAGCCAGACUCGGGGUCACCUCAGUGGAAGUUUGCAGUGACUCUCAGUUGAUAAUCGGGCAAGUGACGGGGGAAUUCGAAGCAAAGGACGGAAAGAUGGCUGCAUAUUUAAUGGAGGUCAAAAACUUGCAGAGGGGGUUCACUAAGUUUAAGAUAACUAAGGUCCCUCGAAAGGACAAUGAGCGAGCGGACGCACUGGCUAAGCUCGCAUCAGCCAACCCCAGACGACUGCCUCGCACAGCCAGUGUGCAAAUUCUGCGACAACCUAGCAUCCAACAUGUAAUCGAUGUUAUGAAUGUAGAAAAUGAGGAAAGUUGGAUAGACCCGCUGUUUGAGUAUCUCACAAAGAAUAAAUUGCCGGAGGAUGCUCUCACAGCCAGAAGGCUAAAAGUUCGGGCAGCCUCGUUUGUCAUCAUCGAUGGGCAACUCUACAAGCGAGGUUUCACAAUGUCAUAUUUGAAGUGUUUGCGACCGACAGAAGCACAGGAGGUGCUAGUCGAAGUACAUGCGGGAAUUUGUGGCAACCACCAAGGGGCGACUACCCUUGCGUUCAAAACGCUUCGACAAGGAUAUUAUUGGCCCAGUAUUAAGGAAGAUGCUAGAGAGUUGGUGAGAAAAUGCGAUGCAUGCCAACGCCAUGGAAAUCUGAUCCACAUUCCGGCCGAGCAAUAGACGGCAGUUUUCGGGGUGUGUCCUUUCUUCCAAUGGGGGAUGGACAUCUUGG